UAUAUGUGUUCUUCAGCACAAUAACGAGAUAUUCUACAAUUACUAAAAGUUGGUUCUAGAUUACCAACAUGUUCCCUCAGAAUUUCGGACACACUUCUUUUCUUCUCCUCCUGUUUUUCCUCUUUACAUCUGCUUCACUCGCUGCUGCAGGAGCUCCAGCUGCCGGGCCACCUCACUGGGCAGGUCGUCGUUCACCUGCGUGGUGAAGUACUUCCUCACCUCAUCCACCUCCCUCUGCCAGAACUCCUGAUCCAGAGAGAACAGCUCGUUGAGGUCCACGUCCUCCUGCAGGCCCUGGAGGUUUAGAGAGUCACAGUGAGGCAGGUAGCCCACGGCAGAGGGCACGGCGCCGGCCUCGCCAUUCACCCGCCUGAACAUCCAGUCAAGCACGCGGAUGUUGUCGCCGAAACCGGGCCACAGAAACCCGGCGGUGGGGCUCUUGCGGAACCAGUUGACGUGAAAGAUCUUGGGGAGCUUGGCGCCGGGGCGGUCGGCCAUACUCAGCCAGUGAGAGAGGUUUCCCUCCUAGUUCCUGCUCACCUUCUGGCCUGCGCCCUCCAAAGAUGAUGGCCUCAAUAGGGACUCCCUCUGGGGAUUCCCACAGUGGGUCGAUGAUGGGACACUGACCGGCCGGAGUGCAGAAACGAGAGUUGGGGAAGUGAUGGUGACUCCCUCAGGCAGCGUCUGGUCCAUUCCCUCCCAGUACACACCGCCAUCGCUAGUCUCUGCAACAUUAGUGAAAACGGUGUUCUUGAUGAUGGUCUUCAUGGCAUUGGGGUUGGUUUUGGCUGAGGUGCCGGGCGCAACUCCAAAAAAGCCAUUCUCCGGGUUGAUGGCACGUAGGUUGCCUAGUGGUAAGGAACAAAGAGGAGGAAAAUAUAAAUAAUGAACAAUAGAAGGCCCCGCGACCCUCUACGCAGGAUAAGCGGUUGACGAUGGAUGGAAUAACAGAAGGCGAUGUCGUCUCCCACACACUCAACCUUCCAGCCCGGCAGCGUCGGGCAGAGCAUGGCCAGAUUUGUCUUCCCGCAGGCGCUGGGGAAGGCUGCUGCCAUGUACUUCUUCUCCCCGGCAGGGUUGGUGACGCCCAGGAUCUGAGCAGGAGAAACAUUUGCAUGUGCUCUGCCAGCCAGCCCUCCUCCUUAGCGAUACGUGAGGCAAUGCGCAGAGCAAAGCACUUCUUCCCCAGCAGGGAGUUUCCUCCGUAACCACUACCGAAUGAGACGAUCUGCCUGCGGUCUGGGAUGUGGGCGAUUAAUGUCUGCUCGGGGUUACAAGGCCAGUUGUUCACCAGGGGCUCUGAAAGAGGAAUCAGUGAUCAGCAUGUGUUUGCAGGACUGAAGAAAAAAAAAAUGAUAACUGAAUAUAAUAAUCAGUAAUAGCAGUAGCAGAAGUGGUUUAGCUGGUUGUAAUACCUAAAGCAGCAACAGCUGUAUCAGCAGUAGUAAUAGUAGUUGAUGCAUUAAUUAUAAUUAUUGUAGCAUUAGUAUUUGUAGUUGUAUAUAUAAUACAAGUAGUAACAGUAGUUGCAGCAGUAAUCACUGCAUCAUAGUCAGUAUUAGUAGUUAUAGUAGUAUGGGUAGCAGUAGUAAUUGUAGUUGGGCCAACUGAAGGACUAAAGGAGGCAUCAUUCAGCAGUAAUAUUGGUAAAACUAGAAAUGCCACAGUGGUUCUAGUCCUUUUCAUCAGUAGUAGAUAGCGUUGCCAUAGUGCUGCUGAAUAAUUAUGAUGUAAAAACAAGUUGAUGUUGACUCACUUUUGAGCGGUAGAGGACAGCCGACGGAGUGCAGACAGCGGACGAACUCGCCCGUCCCCAAAGCGGACAGCACAUCCUUCCCCAUACGGGUCAUCACCCUCAUACUGACCACCACGUAGGGAGAGUCUGUCAGCUCCACGCCAAUCUUAGAGAGGGGGGAACCUACUGGACCCAUACUGAAGGGAAUCACAUACAUGGGAACCGCUGAGUCAUGGCUUUGUCAAACUCUUCUGGGGGCAUCCAGCGACCCAGCUGGCUGACUGCGCCCCCCAGCGAUGUGGGCACCGUGUCCCUCUGGUCCCGGGUCACAAUAACAGUCUUACUCUCAACCCGAGCUACGUCCCUCGGGUCAGUCCUGGCCAACCAGCUGCAAGAGGAGGAAAGAUGGAAUAGAGGGAGGAAGUAGAAGAGAAGGAAGAGAGGAGAAGGAUGGAAGCUGGGUCAGGAUUGCGCGGUUUUCCUCGUCUGAGCCGUCACAGAUGUGGAGGGAGUCGGGCUGGCACAGACUCACAUUGGCAUCUACAAACUCCUUCACGGCCGGACUGAGGGUACUGAGAUCGCCCUGCAGGAUCCUGGGACUGCUCUGGUUCUGGGACUGAAGCUGAGGAGGCAUGGUGGAGGAGUCUGGAGAGAGAGUGAGCCGAUAGACAGAGAAAGAACAGACAGGAAGUCUAGGAGUGGAGAAAGGUUGGACUUGAGGGUG
Long non-coding RNA from Micropterus dolomieu (smallmouth bass), 2459 nucleotides. RefSeq lists it as uncharacterized. Lineage: Eukaryota; Metazoa; Chordata; Actinopteri; Centrarchiformes; Centrarchidae. The record is from RefSeq and is a predicted model, not a curated record. The transcript is spliced from 7 exons.